This 1434-nucleotide long non-coding RNA is filed under the name Piliocolobus tephrosceles (Ugandan red Colobus). RNAcentral describes it as "lncRNA (ENSPTEG00000022270.1)". The record is from RNAcentral. Lineage: Eukaryota; Metazoa; Chordata; Mammalia; Primates; Cercopithecidae.
AUGAUACUGAUUUUUUUUUUGGAAUCCUUACCUUCCUUACCUAAUGGAUUACCAAAGGAAUGCAUAGAACGUCUGACAAAUUCGUUUGGUGAUAAUAUAUUAAAUUCUAAUUAUAAUACAAAUAUAUAUAACAAUUAUAAUUUACCUUACUCACAUAUUAAUACAUAUAAUAAUGGAGCUUAUAUGGAUAAACAAUAUUUAUACAACUAUUAUGUAUACAAUAAAUAUUAUGGUACUUAUAACAACAUUAAUAAUACUACGAGUAAUGAUCAAGGUAAAGUAGAUACUACUACUAAUAUAACUGAUAUAACUGAUAAUAAUAAUAUUACUAAUAUUAAUGAUAACAAUAAUAAAAAUAUUGACAUUACACACGAUAUAAAUAAAAAUAAUGUCUCUGAAGAUAUUAUAAAAAAAGAUAUUAAUACAAAUAACAACAAUAUAUGUACGAAUAAUGACAACAUUGAUAAGAUCAACAAUAAUGAUAAAAAUAUAACACAAGAAUCGACUAUAAAUAUAAAUAAUACUAAUAGUAACGAUAAAAACAGUAGUAAUAUUAGUAGUAAUUCGAAUAAUUAUUUUAACAAUUAUAACAAUAAAUAUAUGUUAUAUAUGAAUAAUUAUUUAAAAUCAAAUGAAAAUAAUAAUAAUAAUAUAAAUAAAAUGGCUAACUAUCCUAUGAAUUACUACUAUUAUAAUUAUUCUAAUUAUAAAAAUUUAAACAACAAUACUAAUAAUAGUGAAAAUUAUUUUACACAUCAGAAUAACUACUAUAUGAACUCUGUUGGUACUAAUCCUAUCGGUACUAAUCCUAUCGGUACUAAUCCUAUCGGUACUAAUCCUAUCGAUACUAAUCCUAUAGGUACUACCCCUGUUGGUACUAACUUUAUAAACAAUCCCAGCUAUGUUAUGAAUAAUAUAAACAAUGUAAAUACUUAUAAUCCCAAUACAAACAAUUAUUUACCGAAUAAAGGAAAAAGACAUUACAACAAUAAUCAUAACACUAUCGGUCGCAACAAUAAUACGAUCGGAUUUAACAACAACAAUAACAACAAUAAUGGUAAACUAAAAAACAAUGGAUACCCUUUAACGAAAAAGGCUCGAACGGAAAAUGACAUACAUCAUAACAAUUAUAACAAUUAUAAUAAUAAUAACAUUUAUAAUAAUAAUAAUAAUAAUAAUUCGAAACAUAAUGAGUACUUAAAAAAUUUAAAUACACAUGAACAAAAUGAAAAUAAAAGGCAUAUGUGUAUAAAUGGAAAAAAGGAACAAACAGAAAAAAAUACUCAACAAUAUUUUGUACCUAUUAAUUUAAGACUAAAAAAUAAAUUGAAUGACACUUGUGAAACAAAAAUUAAUGUACUCGAUAAGGAAAAUAAAAGUGGUAAUAUAGAGAUGGAAUUUAAUAAAUUCAUUAAAGAAGUAGAUUUAAAUUAA